Long non-coding RNA from Wasmannia auropunctata (little fire ant), 726 nucleotides. RefSeq lists it as uncharacterized. The record is from RefSeq and is a predicted model, not a curated record. The transcript is spliced from 2 exons. Lineage: Eukaryota; Metazoa; Arthropoda; Insecta; Hymenoptera; Formicidae.
AAUAUGUGGAAGUAACUAUUUGUAAAAAUAACGGGACACAUGGUUGCAUUUAUAAUUAAAGAAAAAAAAGAAUGUAACUGCACAAUUAAUCAGUCAUAAUCGCUCUUGUAGAACAUUCUUAAAAAUAGGAUAUUCCAAUUUAACGAGUUAUUCUUCAAUUUACAGUCUACUUUUUCUUUUUAUUUCAAUAUAUUUAAAAAUAUUUUUCCAAUUUGAUUUAUUACAUAACAGUCAAUUUGUUUGUAUCAUUGCGUGAUAAAUAACUGUUGUCGUAUGUCGUACGUGCACAUGGUGUGAUUGACCACGCAGUUAUUGACACAUACAUAUCAUAUAACACUUCAACCGAAGCCUGAUAACAGCUCACUGUGUGACGCAACCUCAACACAACAUGUUGCAAUCGUACGACGAGAUAAAAAGAUCACGUGAUUGUGUCACUCAUUCAUGAUAAACGAUCGUCGCAAAGCACGUGUCUCGGGAAUUAUCUAACAUUUCGGCAUCUCAUUAAUCCAUAUGGGUCGCAUCUCAUUAUAUCGAUUGAAUGGAUUGAAUGGAGAAAGAAAACUAAAACGAAAAGACUGUUUAAACUGAUUCGAGAUUUAUCUAUGAGCGAUCUUUGACGAAUGAAUCGAAAUGUGAAUUAGUUACUACUUUGAUUUCACAUUAUGAUAUCUCUUUUUCUACUUAUGUAAAAUGUAAACGUAAUACAAUGCUCUACUUUCUGAAGAA